RNA transcript from Phlebotomus papatasi, 14692 nucleotides. It is a transcript of the gene named DNA-dependent protein kinase catalytic subunit-like, with no coding region annotated. The record is from RefSeq and is a predicted model, not a curated record. Lineage: Eukaryota; Metazoa; Arthropoda; Insecta; Diptera; Psychodidae. The transcript has 12 exons.
CGUGACGUCACAAACUGAGCAACUGUCGAGUUUCGUGCGGCUAAACACGAAGAUUCAACGACUGCAGCCGAGCAGUGAUGUUUUAGUUGGCGCGAUAUUUCACAACUUGGUGUUUUCCUCUGAGAUUUUUCCUUUUUCCCCGUGAUUGUGUAAAUCCCAGUGAGAUGAAUGAAAGACUUACAUCCAGCUUGUCCUCCCUGAAGAGGAAAAUUGAUGGGCAGAGACCCAAAGAAGCCAUAAAUUGUGUUCAAUUGAUUUCCAGUAUUUUCGAUGAAGCCCUAACCAAUUCGGAGAUUGAUCUAGCUAUAGACAUUAUCUUUAAUGUAAAUAGUGGGACAAUCGCGGUCCUUUUCCAAAGUAUUCAGUACAACAAGAUGUUCAAGCAAAUCAAUGUGGAGAUCUUUCAGUUGCACCUGCGGAUUGUCCGGGAGCAUCCUGAAAAAAUGUCUAAAUAUGUCACGUCUGUGGUUCAGUAUGCAACAAAAUACAUUAUUGCUGAAAAUGUGAGUGCAAGGGAGAAAGAGUUUUGCAUGCAAAUCAUCUAUGAACUACUCCUGAAAAAGCUCUGUGAAUCCAUAGACUUCCCAACUGUUCUCGACAAGAUUUUCCGCGUUUUCAGUGAUGGUGAUCCUCCAGCAAGAUUGCAUCAGCUAACUUUUGAGGUAGUUGGAUUGAUUUGCAAAGACUUUGCUAAUCACAUUGUGGGCUCAUACCAGCAACGUUUCCAUAAAGCCAUCUUCACAACUCUCGAUAGCCUUCUGCUAAAGAAGGAUAAGUUCUCCCUAGGAUCAGUGGCUGGUGCUAUUGAUGGCCUUAACUGCUACCUUACUAACUUUCCUCCAGAGGGGGAUGAAGCUGUCAGGGAAUGUGAUUAUAUCUACAAUUGUGUCAAGGAGCUCUCAGAUAUUGGGGAAAUUCGUGAGAAGGCUCUGUUUAGAAGUGCUAUGCUCCUCCUAACCGAUCACACAAAUUUACUGGCUGAACAAUUGCUAAGGGAUUAUGUCUUUUGGCAUCAUGCCCUGCAGAAGUGGCUGCAGUUGACGUAUGAAGAUAAGAGAAUCGCAAUAAAUGCCAUAAAUGCUGUACAUAGGCAAUUGGCAACGACAAUAAUAGAGAGAUCAAAGCCUGAAGAUACUGAAGUAUUGCGAUUUUUCUUUAAAUACUUCAAAAGUGUUUUGCAAUCAUCUAAUGCAAAACCACAUGAAAUCCGAAUUGCCAUUCAGGGAUUCGGAUUGAUGGCUGGCCCUUGUCGAGCAGUUGAAUCAAGUGAACAAAUGGAAGUUCUCCUGAACCUGGUAAUUCAGGCCACUGAUCAUUCCUACUUCACAGAGAAGAUCAACAAGAGGGAGCAUAUGGAACAUCUGGGGGAUUUCAUGGAGUCACUCAGUCAAAUAAUGGCUCAUAUGCCUAUGAUCUCGAGAUAUCAAAUCAAUUCGUUAGAAAACAUGAUUAUCAACUUCAUGAAGGACUUUCACUAUCUCUCAGCAGCUCACCAUGCGUUGGUAAUAAAGGCUCUGAUGAACACUUUUCUGAAUUGUUCCUUUCUCGAAGGAUCUAUUUUUCAUGAUGUACUGGAAUCAGUUACUCGUCAGGGAAUCAUCUGGACUUGCAGUCAUAAAUUGAUUUACGAUGCAUUCAGGGAUGAAAAUGCUCAGGAUUGGAAAGAGAAUAUCACUUACAGAAAUUAUCUACCGCUCUGGAAGGGAAUCUUUGCUUCAGGAAAACGUCAACACUUCAAAAAAGUCUCUGAAGCUGUCUAUUCAGCUUUUAUCGCAUCUAUCCAUAAGAUGAUUGGAAAGUUGAAUUUUCAGACGAAAAAGAGAAUGUACAAGGAUGAAAAUGGCAAGGAUGAGGAAUUUACAUUCUGUGAUCCCAACAUUGAUCUGGAUCCUGUAAAACCCAAAGAUUUUCAUUUGUUUUUCAAUCUGAUUGAUCUCUUUCGAGAAGUCGUGAAUGAUCAAUCAAUAGAUCAUCACAAGGAGAAUUUUCUUCCUUGGAUUCAUCCAUUCUGUGAUUUAAUUGUCACCAAUAUCCAAAAGUAUCCACUAGUUAGUGGUUUCUGCAAGCUCCUCGAAUUAGUUCUCGAUGUUGCUGCUAAAAUAGAAUUUUUCGAUGAUGAAUACCAAUUUGAGAGAUUCGAAACUCGAGACAUUGUAACAUAUUUACUUGGAACACUCAUCAGUCGAGCUCAGUUCACAUCGGGAGAUCUUCAAAUCUCGUGCCUUCAAGCUGUUUUGAUAGUUCCCAUUGAGAUUUCCAUUCAAUUUCCAAAGGAACUCAAUGUAAUUCUCAAAAUUGCCUUCGACAUUGGGAAAAGUCUUCUGUGGCUGGCCAAUAAAGCUCUCACCACUCUGUUUCGGAUUGUCAAGAAAUCUUAUGGAACAGAAGAAGUCAGAGAAAUUCUGGAAAAUGUUCUGCCGUGCUUGGAUGUUUUUCUACAGAGCAAGGGCUUCUCCAAUCCUUCUGCUCUCAGUGUCGAAAUUGUGAGAUAUAAAAAUCGACGAAAGAUUCAGAGGAAAAUGCAUCAAGUGGAUACUGACAGCGAAUUGCUCAGAUUCCAAAAACGAAUCUAUGAUUUUAUCGGCCUAAUUGAACCAGAACAUUGCCUGUAUUUGCUGAACAACAAGAUACACACUGCCACAAAUUUAACAAAGUGGGAUACAGGAAGUAGUAUCAAAUUGAAAAUUCAUUGCUCUGAUGUCUCUCCAACUGUAUGCCUCGAUCCUCUACUUCCGCGCAUUUUCCAGUUGGCCCUGUCGUCUAGUGAUCGAAAAGUUAAGAUAAAUGCAUGUGAGUUAUUGCAUGGAAUUGUGCUGUAUAUGAUUGGGAUUCCAGUGCGUAGCCCAAAGAUUUGGACUGAAAUGUGGGGACAGCUGAUCUAUCUGGGCUGUGAUACCGAUGUUGCCGUUCAGCAGAUGUUUGAGCCACUUCUCAUGCAAAUAAUGCACUACAAAGCACAACCAAAUCAGGAUGGAGUCAAUGAACUUCUAAUUGCACUUAUGGAAAAUCUUUCUCAUCCCUCAAAUGCCGCUGUGAGGGAUUUGGCUGCGCGGUGCCUUCGAGAGUUUGUUUCGUGGACACUGAGACAAUCCACUGAGGACCAAUUGAAUACGUCUCCGCUCAAUAUUACUCGAAUUAUGAAUCAAUUAGAAUUCUAUUGUUGGAAUUUCAAUGUGUACUACAGAUUGGGAGCUUCUCUGGCUUUUAACAAUCUCUACAGGAUCCUACGUGAGGACGAGGGUCUUUUAAAUAGGCACUGGAUAAUGUUGGGGUAUCUGUACUGUUCAAAUUUGAGGCUAUGCAUGAAAGAUGCAAAUUUUCAAUGCGAAAAUAUGGCAAUUGAACAGGCUUCCCUUGCUCUUGAUCACAUUGUGCGGGUUCUGUGCGAGAAGAGUGACCUUUUCAGUACGGUCAGUGAGAAGAGGAUGACACCGACAGCUCUGAAGGAGGCAACUUUGAAGGAAUUUGCUCUGUGGAUUUUUCGCGAAUGUGGAUCUCAUAGAAAGAUUUACCGAGCAAAAUGCAUUGAGAUUUUCAUGAAGAUUGCUCCUUAUGUGAAAGAAUACAAUUCCACAAAGAAAUUCAUUACAGCUUGUAUUUCUGCAGAAGAGAUUUUGGAAGUUUGUGAGGGAAGGAAAGGCAAUGAGGGAAUUGGUCAAUAUCCAGAUCUAACUCACAUUACAUCAUCGGACGUUUUGUCUGUGAAGAUGAUCUAUGAGUAUCUGGAGACCCUUUUGACAGAUCUGGACAAUCAAAUAUGGCUCCUUGGGGGUGAUUUAAUUCAGCAUCCUGACAAGAUUGUAAAUCAAAGCAAAAUUUUCCAUGCCAUUGAGUAUUACUUGGAGAAUAUUUGCUGGAAAGGUGAAGAUGAAAUUUUUGUUCAUUUGAAUAUUGAUCUCUGGAGUGAAUCUAAUUCCAAUGAAAUGGACAUGGGAGCAAAAUUUAUUCAUCAAAUUAGAGAUAUCAAGGCUCUAUUGUCUGCCAGAUUAAUGGAUUUCUUCACAAAAGUCGUCCAAAGCUGUGGUCGUGAUUUUCCAUCGAGUUUCUGGAGGCGAGACAGUCACAUUGUAAGAUUUGUCUGUGACUUGAUUUUCCAGCCACAUGAACUGGGAUUAAAUUUUCGCCAUAGAGAAAUUGAAGAAUCCCUACCCACAAAAGCUGAAAUGGUCCUAAUGAGACUCAAAAGGGACACUUCCAAGGAAUUUAGUGAGGCACUCUCUGGAAAGAUUGUCAAUGAAUUUAUUGAGAGGCUGAAGAAUAUUACAGAGACUAUUGAGAGUAUCGUGGAGAGGAAUUCCGUGAAAUCUUCGGAAUAUCGCUCAGUUCGAGGUAUUUUUAUCAUCUGCAAGUAUGUUCAGUUAUCUUCCUUCCCCGAAGUCGCACAAAAGUCUUUCAUCUAUUUAGUUGAGAGAUUGGUCCUGUACCUCUUCAAGGUUAUCAAACAAGUUAAAAAUGAUGAUUCAUAUCCCAGGAAAAUAGCUCAUGAUGUUGAAAAAUAUCUCAAAUUAAUCCUGUCCAUUACUUUCUUCUGCGAAGAGACUCAUUCGAGAGUGAUCAAGUUUCUCUUUGACGACACUCCCCUGAAGAGCAUUAAUGCCUCCGAUAAAGGAUUUAUAAAAUACGGAGAGUACUUUCUGGAAGUUUAUCGAGAUGAACUUCUGGCCAAUCUUGUAAGUACAAUGGAUUUAACAAUAACAACAAUUAUUAGAGCGCUAACUCAGCCGAAACUUCCGACUGUAUGUCGCUUGAUAAUUCAGCUGUGUAAGUUUAUUUUUGACAAAAUUCAUGAGAGAAGCAAUGCAAAAAUCUUAGUUGAUGCAAUCAUCAAUUCCUGGGAUAUAUUCAGAACUUCCUUCUCCCAAUGGAAGUUCUCCUACAAACUCGCAGAUCUUCACAAAAUUGAACUCAUUUCCAAUAUCGCCAUGAUCAGUCCGUAUCCUCUAUGGGGUUUGGCCACGAAACUUCCGGAUUUGGAACACUGGAUCUUGGAAUUAAUCACUGACCGAGAUAUUUCAAUGGAAAUUAAGAUUCAUGUCCUAGAACUUCUGCCAACAAUCACUGGACCAAAUGACGUCUCCAAUGAGAAGCUUACAAAUGCUCUUAGGGCUUUUCAGGCCAAUCACUUACCACUGAUCUCUUCGGAGUUCAAAGCUGAAAGUAUGGAACGUGCUAGCUUAGUGGUGACCUUCAGGACUAUUCUGGAAGCUCUAGUGGCUUCACAGUCUCCGAUUCUACUGCGAUUUCUCAUUGAUGCCACUGCCGGAGAUAAAAAGCACGUGAUGGAGUACGAAAUUGGAGUGCACCUAAAGAAGUGCAUGCAACAUAUGCAGGAAAAUAUACAAGUGGAGUGUUUGCAGCUCUCCUUUGAUGGUUUCUGCAACUUACAACAUGAACCCAGUAUUCGACUGAUCGUAAGUCGUAGAUUUCUCAAAACUCUUAUAAGAGCUUCUACCACAAAGGCUAUAAUCACUUUCUAUGAGAAUAACAUUAAGAAAGUUGUUGAUUUGACUGAGACAAGUUUUGGACUGGAAGGUAAAGGAUGGGUAGUUGAGCAAGCACUCGUUAGUAGAGCUGGGGGCUAUGAAUUGAUAGAGUGCCUAUUUAGUAUGGUUGAUAGAGAAUUUCUCGAGACAAUCAGUUUUUCAUUGCUCGGUACUCCAGGAACUGAGAUUAUCAAGCACUUAACUAAGAAGGCUUUCAAGGUGAGAACGGAAAUUUUUCGCACAGAUGAUGAGACUGCAAUGGAAUUUUACAGGAAAUAUCAAUGUCAUGCUUAUUCAGCCCUAUGCACAAUCGUAAGCAAUACCCUGGAUCAAUUGAAAUUUUACGAGGGGUUGCUAUUUAAAGAGAAUGCUGCAAAGAAUGAAUAUAUCUGGCAGAGAAUUAUCAAUUGCAGAGAUCCAAAGUUGUACAGCAAUAUUGAACAGGAAUUUCCUGAUUAUCCAAAAGUUAAGGAUUUGAUGGUAUCUAUUAAGAGAAGUGCUAAGAAAAGUGAUGCGGACUAUUUAAAAUUUUCCCAUACUAACAACGUUUUUCUGUCAUCGCUGAGUCAAGAAGUAACAAAAUUUGACUUUACUCAUGCAGCAAUUCGCAAUGCUGAAGAUGUUGCCAACAAAGACACUGAGAAAGAACUGGCGAGCGUACAGUUGGAGAAUGUGGACAUUAAUAAGCAUGAGCUCAUGGCAACUCUGUGUGCAUUAAUCAAUCACAUGUUUGAGAACAAGAUUACUCCAAUUCCUGAAGGAUCAGCCACAGGAAGAAGGUCAACUCCAGAAUGGGUACAAUCUAUUGCAAAUAGUAUUUAUAGUCGUCAGGAGCAUAAGAAUGUGAGGAUCUUCCUCUGUAAAUUGGUAGACAAUUGCCGAGAUGUUUUCAAACAUUACUGUUCUGUUCUCAUGGCUCCUCUAAUGCAAUUCAUUGUGGAUGAAUGUGCUGGAAGCAAACUAAAUUCCUUCAUCACUGAUCUAGUAGCUCUGAUCCUCGAAUGGAGUGAGAUUUAUCUGCCUACAGCUUGCGAUGAAGCCAGUACGGCAUCAGAUAUGUUGGCUUUCCUUAUGAAAAAUUCCUAUCAUGUCCGUACUGAGAUCUUUAAGCUCAAUCUAGACUUGAUCAAUAGACUCGUGCAGCUCUGGAAGGGAUUUGUGAGAAUUCAGAGGCAAGUACUCUAUGAUCUCAUAAGGCAGACAAACAGCACGGAUUCAAGAGAGAAUAUCUGUGGUCUUCAAUUGAAUGCUAUUGUUUUAUCCAGUGAGAUUAUUCCAUGGGAAGAAUCCAUUAAGAUCAACUACUUGAGGGCUCUUUUCUCAUGUCUGGACAAUGAUUUCAAAAGUGUCUAUCAAACAGCAUCCCAUUUGUUGGGAAUGUGCAUCAAACAGAUCAACCCUGAUGGAGAAAUUGAUGAUAAUGUUUGUUCGAAGGAGCUCAAACAGAAAAUUGAAAUGAUCAAACGAACCAGCGAAGAGAAGUUCAUCAAUGUGAUUUAUGGCAUUCAGAAAACCUAUCCUAAGAUAUUAAAACCAUUCAUGAUCAUCAUUGCUCACUUGAUUCCCAAUGCUUUUGGAUCGAAGAAGAAGAUUUGCCUAGAGAUGUUCCUUUCCGGAAUGGAUACUUAUGGAAAUACUAUUUUUCGGGAAUUGAUUACAAUGGGAAUCCGUGAUGUUCUGAAGCAGAAUGAACAUCAACUCCUUGGACUUCAUAUAGUCAAUAAGGCAUUGAGUGAUAUGAAGAUAUCAGAGAUUGAGCAGCUUUCAAGUGAUCUUCUGGUCUUUACUGAUCACAGAAAUGCCGAGUGCAGAGAUCUCAUAUAUGAAAUCUUAAUACAUAUUGUAGAGAUGCUGAAUGAAAGGUCAGAACAGGAAAGUGAAUUGUACAGAAGUGUCCUGGCUGCACUUCUAAAUGGAUUAUCUGAUGAGGACAGUGACAUUCAAAAUCGCAUCUUCACCUUUUGGUCAAAUGAAAAGAACUUAUCUCAGAGGUUGAGUGAAAGAUUUUUGAGCAUUAUGGAAAAUUUGUAUGAUCCAAAGUCAGAAAAGCACUUCCUAGAAUUUGCUACUCAACUCCUCCUCGAUCUGCCAGUUCACAAUCACAAUUCGAAAGAGAAACUCUUCAUAAAUCAAAUUGAGGAUAACUAUAAAUUCACAGAAUAUGAGUUGAACAUCAGUUGGCGCUCAAAGUCCAAUCAAUCACUUGUGCCUCUUUUUGUGGAGUCUCAGCAACGUCAAGUGAUUGUUGGUAGUUCCCUACAAAUGGGUAGAAUGCUUAAGGCAACAGCGAGUGCAGCAGAGUUUCAACCAACGCAAGAACCUUCAGCGAUAGCCAGAAUACCAGAAACUUUCGCCCUAGCAACUCCCAACUCCUUGCUGUUUUCUCUUCCACCGCAAAUUCUAGACAGGCAAUCCCGGCAUAUUUCUAAACCCAAUGAAUAUGCCCCAAAGAUCUCUCUGAGUAAUCUCAGGAAGCGCUUCAUUCAGGAUAAAGAGAAGUCUCACAAGGAAUAUGCACUGAAAGCGAUUGAAAAAAAGCGUGCAGAACCACAGCGACGAAUUAAUCUAGGACGUGCAAAAGAAAAUGAAGUAGUACUUUAUCGCAGAUACAGAUUUGGGGAUUUCCCUGAUCUGCUGAUCAAUUGCUUGGCUCUCUUGCUGCCUCUUCAAGCACUAGUAAAAAAGGAUGCAAUUGUUGCUCGGCAUAUCUUCAUGUCGCUCUACAAUGGUAUCAUUUCCAGUGAGGAAGUCAAUCCAACAGCUUUCCGAGAAGCUGUGAGUGCGCAUAUCAAUAAGAUUCUCAACACAUCGAGGAACUGCGAAUCAAUAAUUUUUGCCACGCUGAUGGAAAUGGGUCUAAGUGAUCCCAUCAUCUUCAAUUUUGCUCCUGACAAUGUGGCAAUGUCAUCAAUUGUUAGCAAUAUGAUUCCCAGUGCUGCUCUCUACAUUGAAUCCUGCCUCGAUUUCCUAAUUCAUCAAAACAAUGAGGCAUCUCAAGAGAGUAUGAAGCAGAAAUUGUGGCUGAAACUUGCGGAACUAUAUCAGAAUAUUUCUGAGAAUGAUGUAGUAUCGGGAAUUUUCUCAGAUAAACUCAACACAGAUUCACAGCUUACAAAAGCCAUUGAUUAUGAAAGUCAGGGAUAUUUGCUCAAAGCUGAAAAGAUCUACAGAAAUCUCUUGCAAUUCGAAGACAAUAUCGAGAAUGAUUUUUGCUACGAAUCCAUAUUCAAUUGUUACAUGAAGAUGGGAAAUUGGUCAGGACUGGCAACAAUUGGUAAAAAUCAAAUCGAUGACUGGGAGGAAUUGUGGACAGAUGAAUGGAGUCAUGAAAAACUUCUGCCGUGUAUUAUAAAGUCAAAUAUGCGAUUGAUGCUGGAGGGAAAACUUGAGAGUCAGGAAUUUAUAAAUGUCCUGGAGGGAUGGCUUCAUGCCCCCGAGAAAGCUGGUCUCCUCAGAAUGAACUAUUCCGAGGAGAUCAUCAUGUUUCAAGUUGCCAAUAAGGACUAUCGUCCAGCAAGAGUACAGUCUGAGCAGAAUUUGAUUUACUUUUUGUCUGAAUGGGGCCACUUGAGCACCUUGUCCGACAAAUUACGAUCUGAGAAACUUUUUAAUCUCAGACGUGUAGCUGAAAUUCAUCGAUGUAUUGAGAUUCUACUGAAUGAUGAGUACGCGGGAAGGGUUGAGGGUCUUCUGACUCAAUGGAAAAAUUCAUCAUUAACUCUCAAUGAUUCUCUGAAGAUGUGGGAUUUUCUAAUUGCCUAUCGAACAUUCUUUGGGAAUGUCUUGAGGAAAAAUUAUACGAAUGUAGAUGAAUGCAUUUCUGAGAUGAAACUCAAAUUUAUUGAUACGGCCAUUCAGCAGAAGAACUACCAAUUAGCUUUGAGCAAUCAUCAAUCUCUAAGAAAUUCUGAGAUUCAGUUUGUUGGAGAGGAAAAUCUCACAAAACUGACUUUGAUACAGUGUAAGCUGAAGAAUUUAAAGAUGGAACGACGUCGCCCAACGGAAACGCUCGAUGCGUAUCUCCAGUCAUCGCAGCAAAUCCAUGACAUUGCAAUUUCCGACAAAAUGAAGGAAUUCAGUGUUGAUUUCCGGCUGCAAAUUUACAGUGAACUAAGUGAAAUGUUAAGGAAAGUACUGUCGAAUAUUUCUAAAGUUGAUAUAGAAGACAAUCAUAAGGACUUAAUAAUGCAAUUAACACCAGGCAGCAGUGCUAGUGAUUUGGAAAAUCGAUUGCAACAGCAGAAUCUUUUCUGGUUCAUUGAAAGCGUCAAAGUUGCCGAAGAGAUUUCUGGUUCAUCUCAUAUGGACAAUAAAAUCCUCGGAAAUGUCUACUACAAAUUAGGCAUUUUCUGCUACGAUCGCAUGGAAAGCAAUGUUUCAGCAUCGCUGGAGAGGAAUUUUGUUAAAUCAGUACUUCGUGGUAUGAGCUACAAUUCCAAGGAGGCCAGGAAUCUUUUCCCAUCGCUCCUCGAAAUGAAUUCUCUCACAAAUGAUUCCCAAAUUUCUGCGCUUUUUGUCAACGAAAGCAAGAAGGUGCCCGAAUGGAUGUUCCUCAAUUGGGUACCUCAAAUUCUGGCCAGAUUCAACUUUGACAAACCCUGCUAUCUGGAUAAGAUCCUUCUGAGACUUGCUAAAAUGUAUCCAGCAGCCAUCGUUUACUCAUUCACAAUGUCCUACAGUCAGUAUGUUGAAGCACGCAAAACAGUUUCCGUAGAUCGGAGUGUAGUGACAAAAAUCCGCAGUCUAACAAACAUUCCUGGGGCUAGACAGUUCAUAUCGGCUCUCUCUUGUCUAUGUAUGCCCAAAUUGAUGCUCUAUUCGCAUUUGGUGGUUUUUUCAAAUGCUCUAGCUACCGAUAGUAGCAUAUCAAACAUCAAGAAAAACAAGCACAUCGAUAGUAUCCUAAGAAACGUUUUUCGUGACGGUGCACAAAAUUUGCAAGGAACUGCAUUUAAGCAGUUGGAGAAAUAUCGUACAAUCGUUGAAGGUUUCAAAAAUGACACCGUAGGAGCUAUCCUUGCAACCCUGUCUGAAGUACUGAAAGGUUUAAGAGAUGAAAGUGAUCGUGAAACGCAGGAAACAAUCGAUAUGGAAAAGCUCUGUCCGUGGAUGGUAAACUUCAAUCCUACCGAGGAAAAUAUGAUUUUGGAAUUGCCAGGACAAUAUCCAGGAGAUCAAAAGCCUUUCGUAGAGAAUCAUGUUAAAAUUGCCAGAUUCCACCCCAAACUCCUCAUUUUUCAGUCUCUGAGGAAGCCCAUGAAGUUAACUAUAACUGGGACAGAUGGGAAGCAUCAUGAUUACUUAGUGAAAUAUGGUGAAGAUUUGAGGCAAGAUCAGCGUAUACAGCAACUUCUACAUCUCAUGUCUACUAAUCUGCAACUCGAUGAACAUUGCAAAAAUCACAAUCUCUUUGUCCAAACUUACCAGGUCAUACCAGUUUCUCAUUAUUGUGGAAUAACAACAUGGGUUCAUGAUACAGUCAUCAUGAAAAACUUUGUGAAGAAAUCCAUGAAAUCUUUUGAUGUGGCUGUGGAUGGUGUUAUUAGGGAAUUCAGAAAGUUCUUUAACUUCACCGAUGGCAGAUUUUACAUCGAUUAUGGGAAUAUGGUAACCAGAAAUUCACGAUCGAAAAUUGGAAAGAAAUUCAUGGAAUUGGAGCAAAUGAUUCCGAGAGAUCUGAUUCGGAAAGUCUUCUGGGACAUAAGCGUAUCACCUGAGUGCUUUUUUGUGCUACGCAAUAAUUUUGCCAAAAAUCUCGCUACCAUGAAUAUUGCUCACUGGAUCCUUGGAAUUGGCGAUAGACAUCUGGGGAAUGUUCUGCUGAACACACAAAGUGGAUAUCUGGUGGGAAUUGAUUUUGGAAUGGUUUUUGGUGGAGCUACAAUUAAUCAAACAAUCCCUGAACUUAUUCCUUUUCGUUUAACACCGAAAAUGAUCAAUGUUAUGAGUCCUUUUGGUGCAUCUGGACUCAUGAAGAAGUGCAUGAUUCAUGCUCUAAGAUCCUUCAUAAAUUGCCGCAAGACGAUCAUGGCUUGCAUGACGGUGUUUAUACAAGAACCAACGAUGGAUUGGAUGGCUGCGGCGAAAUUUGAUGUGGAAGAUAGUUCGACUGAAAUCGUACCAUGGAACAGUCGCAAGAGAAUUGAGAUUGCCAAGAAGAAGCUUCAUGGAGCAAAUCCCAAAGCUUUGAUUGCCGAAGAACUGUCAAUGUCGGUGAUAAGGGAUUCGGAUUAUGUCGAUGGAUACAAAAAUAUCCUGGAAGGUGAUGAAGAAACAAAUUUGAGGGCUCAACUUCAGGACUCAAAUCUCUCUGCUGAGGAACAGGUUUCAUGCCUUAUUGACUUGGCUACUGAUCCAGCAGUGUUAGGCGUGUGUUAUAUGUAUUUCCUGCCCUGGAUUUAAACAAGUAAUAUUGGACAAUUAUUUCGCUAUUAUUAAUAAAUGACGUGUAUAGCGAGGAAUUGUGGGAACAAACAUGUGGACAAUAUUCCAGGAAUUACAUUUCACAGAUUUCCGACCAACACAAAAAUGACUCAACAGUGGGUUAAACUUCUUGGUUUAGGCGAAUAUUACAAAAUCAAGAGAAACAGUGACAAGGUCUGUAGUAAACAUUUUCGGGAUGAAGAUUUCUAUGAGAAAACUUAUAAGGAUAACAUCACCAGAAAAUAUCUGAAACCCAACGUCUUGCCGCAGGAACAUAUUACACUAAAGAGAGCCUUAGAGUCAACUGCAUCCUCUGGGUCGACCUUUAAGAAGCGUCGCCGUCGGUUGAAGAAAAAACUUGGUGAUACUGAAACAGCAUACAAAAAAGAUCAUCAGAAAAUUAAAAACCUUAGGAAGAAGGUAUGCGGGCAGAAAAGGAAAAUUAAAAGUCUUAAAUCGCUUCUUUCUGAACUUCAAAAGAAAAGACUACUGGACCAAUGCGCGACAGAUACUUUAGAAAACAUUGCGAGUCCUAUCAAAAAUACUUUUAAUUUGUUGAUUAAGAAGACAGAGGGCCAAAAAGUUCCGCGUGCCUAUCAACCAAUUAUCCGACAGUUCUGUUUGACCCUAGAUUUCUUGUCCCCAAGGGCAUAUAAAUAUGUCCGUCAAGUUUUCCAAAAUACACUGCCAAAUCCAAGUACACUUGCCUCUUGGUACAGAACAGUCGAAGCAGAUCCUGGAUUCACUAAGGAGUGCAUGGAUGUACUUAGAAAGUUUGUGGAAAAGGAAAAGGAUCAAGAUCGUGAAGUACAUUGCCAAUUGUUAUUUGAUGAAAUAUAUAUCUUUUCUCAAAUACAAAAAGUUGGUACUAAGGUGUACGGGUAUAGUUCAGUGUCAACUCACGGAAGGACUCUGAAUGAACUAGCUACGCAGAUUCUGCAGUUCAUGAUAGUUGGAAUUAACGGUUCAUGGAAAAUUCCAAUUGGGUAUUUUCCCAUCCAUUCAAUGACUCGCGAAGCAAAACAAAAUAUUGUGGAGAGAGCCAUAAGAAUCAUGGAAUCUGUAGGGGUUUCUAUUCUCGGGAUAACUUUCAAUGGGGCCCCAGUCAAUAUGGCUAUAAUGAGGCUAAUGGGUGCAAAAACCGAUCUUGAAGAUCCUUCAUUUUGUGUAAAAAUCAAAAUAGAUGAAGAAAACGAGGACAGUCCUGAAAAGUCAUAUUUCAUUUAUCCAGAUCCUGUGUACAACAUAAAAUUGGUACGUAAUGUUUUUGGAGAAAAGUUAACAUUCUAUGAUGCAGACGACGAAAUUAUCGAUUUUAAAUUCAUAUUGGAAUUGCUGAAUCUCCAAGAAGAAUGUGAUUUUAGUGACUUGACAAAACUUUCAAACACUCACGUCUACUUUAAAAAAAAGAAAAUGAAUGUAAAAUUCGCCGUACAAUUGCUCAGUAGAUCUGUGGCUGAUUGUUUGGAUUAUUUUCGUGAUGAUUUGGCAUUGCCUCAAUUUAUUGGGAGUGAGGGUACAAGCAAAUUUAUAAGAAAAAUGAAUAACAUUUUUGAUUUACUAAACAGCAGUAAACCCUCAAAUGAAGAAUUUAGGACUCCUAUUUCUGAGGACAAUUUGGACAGACUCACUGAAUUUUGCGAAAAUGAGAAGAUGUACAUAGGUAAUUUACAUUUUAAAACCACUUAUCAUGUAAUUCAACGAACAAAGCAAGAUGAAGGAGUAAAAAUGACAACCGAGGAAGUCAUAAGUAAAGAAAAGUUAGUAGAUUCAAGUAUUAAGACAGGGUUCCUCGGACUUUACAUUGCUUUGCAUAACUUACCAAAAAUGUUUCAAAAAGUUCAAAGAUCUGUGAAAAUGACGGGUCUUCGAACAUACUUCUUAAACCAAGAUGCAAUUGAACUUUUCUUCAACUCUAUAAGGACACAGCUGAGAUCCAACACCAGCCCUACCGUUUUGCAGUACCGUGUCGCAUAUAAGAAGUUGUUAACUUAUGUACAACUUAGAGAAAGCGACAUGGGAAACUACGUCCUUGGAGUUGAUGAAAAAAAAAUUUUGCAAAUAAGUCCAAAAAGAUGUCUUCAACAAAUUAAUAAAAUAUCAGAAGAAUUAAGUAAGGAAGAAAAUGGAGAACAAUUCUCAAAUGAUACAGAAUUCGAAAAUAUUAUAAAAUCUCGUUAUGAGGAAGUGAUUCUGGAUAAAGACGACUACAACCAAAUGUCAUCUUCACAAUUUGAAUGUGAAAAUUUGCCCUCUAUAGACGAAAUUGAAAAGUCCAUUAUAAAUUUAAUUGCUUCACAAUUGAUUGUAAAAUUGGAGGAGAAAAUUAAAUGCGUCGAAUGUUUUACGGAAUUGAUUGGACAAGUAGAAGAAAUGACUGAAGUCAAAUUUUCAAAGCAUCCCUCCCCUUUUACAAUUUCUAUUUGCGAGCUAUCUGAAAAGUUAUUUAGAAGUCAACUAAAUGAACAUGGGAUACACAAAAUCCUUGAAGAAAACUUGGAAAACACUAUUAUUUCCCGUGUUAUUACAGAAGUGGAAGUGCCGUCUGGACAACACUUUGAUCUUGAAGUGACACACAAAAAUUAUUUAAUAGAACUCAUAAGUAGCAUGUUUUUGAGAACUCGAAUAUUUCACCAGCUACGUAAAAUAAACGACAAUGACUCAAUCAAGCAUCAGUACAGAUAACUAGUACACUUUAUAAUUUAAAAAAAUAUAAAAAAUUUGGUAUCUAUUAAUUUGUGUAUGAAAAUCAAAUAAACAUAACAAAAAAAUAAAUUAUAGUCUAA